GAUGAACGCUGGCGGCGUGCCUAAUACAUGCAAGUCGAACGAAACUUCUUUAUCACCGAGUGCUUGCACUCACCGAUAAAGAGUUGAGUGGCGAACGGGUGAGUAACACGUGGUCAACCUGCCCAAAAGAGGGGGAUAACACUUGGAAACAGGUGCUAAUACCGCAUAACCAUAGUUACCGCAUGGUAACUAUGUAAAAGGUGGCUAUACUACCGCUUUUGGAUGGGCCCGCGGCGCAUUAGCUAGUUGGUAGGGUAAAGGCUUACCAAGGCAAUGAUGCGUAGCCGAAUUGAGAGGUUGAUCGGCCACAUUGGGACUGAGACACGGCCCAAACUCCUACGGGAGGCAGCAGUAGGGAAUCUUCCACAAUGGGCGAAAGCCUGAUGGAGCAACGCCGCGUGGGUGAAGAAGGUCUUCGGAUCGUAAAACCCUGUUGUUAGAGAAGAAAGUGCGUGAGAGUAACUGUUCACGUUUCGACGGUAUCUAACCAGAAAGCCACUGCUAACUACGUG
RNAcentral lists this ribosomal RNA (512 nucleotides) under uncultured bacterium. RNAcentral's name for it is "partial 16S ribosomal RNA". It matches the Rfam family "Bacterial small subunit ribosomal RNA", at positions 28 to 507 of the family's 1533-position model. The record is from RNAcentral.